CAAUCCCAUCAGAAACCAGACCACACAUCUCAACAUCACUCAACUCUGUCACACGUGUGCAGAACCUCACCGUUCCUAUUUCAUACCAGUGGUAGUUGGUGUAUUGUUGGUGCUGGCCAUAAUUGCAGUUUUGGGCGGGAUUUUGUUUUGGCACAUCAGGAACCGUAAACAAACAGCACAAACUGGCAGACAUCAAGACGGAAGCUUUCUUGCUGUUGUCUUGUUGCUGCUUUACUGUACUUGUGCGUAUAUUUGCAUGAUCAUUCAUGCAUGUGU
Molecule: long non-coding RNA, 276 nt
Organism: Cyprinus carpio (common carp)
Lineage: Eukaryota; Metazoa; Chordata; Actinopteri; Cypriniformes; Cyprinidae
Exons: 3
Source: RefSeq, a predicted model, not a curated record